CUCAUUCUCCACCUUGACUCAUUCUGAUUACCUACUCCAUCCUGACUCAUUCUCCACCCUGACUCAUUCUGAUUACUUACUCCACCCUGACUCAUUUUCCACCCUGACUCAUUCCGAUUACCUGCUCCACCCUGACUCAUUCUCCACCUUGACUCAUUUCAUAACCGUUUUUCCCUCCAAACAACUCACCCUGUCACUCUCUUUAAAUUACUCAAUCAGAAUUAGUUUAGCCUGUACGGUCUAACCCUAGCCAAUAGGGGAAUGACAAAGCAGUAGGGACCAUGUGCAUAAGGAAAAAUAACCCCUUUCCCUCCUUUGUCCAGGUGUGCACUCACCAGUCCUCCAUCUGUAAGGGCAUACCCUUCUAUAGAAGUACCUUGCCCUGCUGAGAAUUAAAAAGAAAAUUUUAUAUUCGAGUGCUAUUUCUUUUGUGGCACCGAAACUUUACUUAUAACAAUUUGGGGGCUCAUCCGGGAUUACAUUCCCCUCCGGGGGUGGUCUCUGGUUCUCUCUUGUGAGGAGGUGCACCCCACCCCACUGUGGCGGCCUCAGGGGUGAGAAAUCAAGACCCACCCAGUGUGAAGAAUAACCUGAGCUCUCAGCUACAUGGAAAGAAACUGGCUAGCAACCUAGCUUAAAGCAUCCUCCAUAAGGGCCACACAAGUGUGUGCAUGGACCGAGGAAAAGACACCAUGGGAGCCGGUAAAGUAUUUCCUUGGUGGUUGGGAGCAAGGAUGAAGAGAGCUACCCUUAUCACCACAUAUGGAGAGCCAGCACCAAGAUGAACUCCAGCCACUGAUCAAAAGAGGGUGGAGGAAAUGUUUUCCAACCCUACAAUGCACACUGUAUCUCUGUGCAGCAUACACCUCUGUACGACAAUUUCCCUUGUUGUUUGCCUGAAGACACAUGAGCUGCAACUCUGAAUCGGGAAAUAGAACUUCAAUCACUUUCGUGGAGCAAUUGGGGAAUGAAACAACCUUGCAUGCUCCUCUGAGGAGUAUGCCAUGAGAGCUCAGAGGCUACUAUUAUUGGCUGAACAUUGGUGUCAAAAUCUUGAUUGAUGUCCAAAUGCUUCUGGUCUCAUCCUAGACUUGUGAGGUGUGAUCUCCAUAGGUCUAUUCCCAUCCCUUUCCCCUCCACCACGCCUAGUCCCACAUUCUUUUCUGCAUGCAGUGUGCUCUGCUCUAUUGAUCACCUUAACCCAGCUGUGCGCACUCUUCCACUUGUCCUGAAAACAGCACACCCACGUAGCCUUCUUCGGUGAUGUCUGGGCCAUGUGUUGGUGUUGUGCACACUCUUAUUAUGAUCAUUUGAACUCUUAUAACACAUUGUUUAACACAUGUGAAAACGUAAGACAAACUUGCAGGUUUCAGUUAUUUAAAGAUAAACCACGAUAUAAAUGUUCAUAUCUAUUCAAUAUAUUUAAGAUAAGCACUUCAAAUUCUCAUUUAAAUAUCUUAGUCUUGCUUCAUCUAUAAAGUCAUAACUUUAUUAGUUAAAAUGCUUAUUUGGAUAAUUUCAGACUUUCAAAAAGGUUGUGAAAAUUGUACAAAGAUUUUCUAAAUACUCUUCACUUAGAUUCCUGAAAUAUUCCUACAUUAGCAUUCUCUCUCUCUCCUCUCCUCUCUGUCUCUCCUCUCCUCUCUUGUCUGUCCUCUCUCUCUCUCUCAAGGUUCUACAAUUACUGAUCCUGACACUUAGGAUGUGAGUUUAGGUAGAGAUUUGGGAAGUUCAAGAUUGCUCAUCAUUUUAUCUGGUAAUGUCUUUUGCUCAAGUGACACCUUUUACUUCAACUGCUAUUGUUUGCCUCACUAGUUUCACUUGUGGGAUUUUUCAAAAAUGCAUCAUGAUUGAUAGAGUUAAAAUUAAUCUUUCUUGAUGUAAAGCAUAUUGUGUUCAUUGCUGUGGGCCUGCUAUGUUUAGUAUUGCAAUGCCAGUGGGUUUAUAUCACCUACCAGUUUAUCUUGUUAUAACUCAUCUGACUGCUUUAUCUCUGUGAGGUAGCUGUUUAGAGCUUGGGUUCUGAAGUCAGAUGAUUUGAGUCUGACUCUUGGCUUUAGUUCCUGAAUCCUGGACAAAUACCUUCACCUCCCUGGGCCUUCCCUUCCACAUCUUCCAGAUGUGCACAUGGUAGUGCUUAUCUCAUAGGAUUUUGUGUAUGUGUGAGGAUUGAGUCAGACAAAUAGGAAGUGUUCAGUAUGUUGUCCAUUGUUACAUUAAUCUAAAAAGAACAUUGGAUAACAUUUGAAUAUCUUCUGUGCCUAAAAUGUCUAUAGCCUUUCUCUUAUUUAUUUGUAAUUCUCUGCUGUUUGAGUUUCUGACAGGCUCUAUAUUUCUAAGCUUUUAUUUAGUCUUGAUUAAUUUUAGUGAAGUUUUUCUUCAAUUUAGUCAAAAUAAUGUAUUUACCAUAGGAAGUUAAUAGUUAAAGAUAAUUGUUAUGUUUGAUCUUUACGUAAUUAAAACUUGAGAAUUUUAUCCUUUCAGUUCCUAUGUAGGUUAGUUUUUCCUCAAUAUGGCUAAUGUGGGUGGUAUCUUGGAUUGAAAUAUCUUAUUUCCUCAAGUGUACAAUCCAUUUUAAAUAGCAAUUUGUGUGGUUGGUAACCAUUAACUUGAUAGAAACGUUAGGUCUGAAUCUGUCUCUACAAAAUUCAUGUGUUUGGAACUUAAUUUCCAGUGGGGUAGUGUAUUAACUCAUUUUCAUAGUGCUAUGAGGAAAUACCCAAGACUGGGUAAUUUAUAAAGAAAAAGAGGUUUAAUGGACUCACAGUUCCACAUUGCUGGGGAGGCCUCACAAUCAUUGUGGAGUGUAAAGGAGGAGCAAAGGCACAUCUUACAUGGUGGCAGGCAAGCGAGCGUGUGGAGGGGAACUGCCCUUUAUAAAACCAGCAGAUCUCAUGAGACUUAUUCACUAUCACGAGAACAGCAUGGGAAAAACUCAACCCUAUGAUUGAAUUACCUCCCACCAGGUCCCUCCCAUGACACGUGGGGAUUAUGGGAGCUAAAAUUCAAGGCGAGAUUUGGGUAGGGACACAGCAAAAACAUAUCUGGUAGUAUUAAGAGGUGGGAUCUUUAGGAGGUGAUUAAGUCACGAGCAUGGAGCUCUUAAGAAUGGAAUUAGUGACCUUACAAAAGAUGUGUGAGGGAGCUGUUUGCUGCUUCCACCUCUUCUGCCAGGUGAGGAUGCAGCAACAGGAAAACAUGUUGGAAGCAGAGAGAAGUCCUCACCAGACACUGAAUCUGCCAAAACCUUGAUCUUGAACUUCCCAGCCUCCAGAACUGUUCAAAAUAAAUUUCUGUUCUUUCUAAAUUAUCCAGUCUGUGGCAUUCUGUUAUAGCAGCAGGAAUGGACUAAGACAAUUUUAUUGAACAUCUAUCUAAAGAAAUGCUACUUCCUUUACUCAAAAAUAAAACAUGAAGUUUCUGCGGGUCAGGAAGACCUCUUAGACCAAGUCAUUGGUCUGACUAUGAGAUUCAACUUCCAGGAUCCUUUUCUGAGUCUUGCUUCUCUCUCUCUGCUAAAUUUAAGCGCUCCUGUUCACCGUGGAGUCACUAUGUUUAAGUAGAGCCCUGCGGCUCUCACACUGCAUGUCUGUUUGGAUGCUCUUGGGGGCCUUGCAGGAGUUUUAAUGUGGACUGAUGUAGGCAUGAGGAUUCUCAGAGCCCCAUGGUAUGUUUGCCGUGCAGUGAAACUUGAGGACCACGGCCUACCCAACCUCUGAUUCUCUGCAGCAACCCCCAGGGUCACGUGGGGACCUGCAAAGUUUGUUCUAAAAUUGAGGUGAUGAGAGGGGGCUGAGUUCGGAGUGCUACCUCCUUCCACACCAGCUCUACACACUCAUCUCCCCUCCACACUCACACUCCUCUGUGCAGUAGUGCAGGCUCCAAGAAAUUCCCUUAGAAAGAACUCCGCUUAACUUUGCUCUAUACAGCAUUUCCAAACUUAAUAUCAAAUUAGUGCUGUGGUAAUACGUGGGCUUAUUUUAUUAACACAUUAAAUAAGGAUUAGUGGCUAUUUCAAAACACCUGCAACAGCUUAACAUGUGAAAUAUAUGGUUUCUGUUGGUGACAAAGGUACGGGUACCGUGGUUUGUUAGUUGCAUUUAUAAUUAAAGGAAGAGCUAAAUUUCAAAUAAAAAUUACUGAAAAUAAACAUGAGAUUAUUUUUUAUCCCAAAUUCACAGACCCCCUCCCAACCCCACCUUCCUGCCCCAUGCUGCACUCUCUGUCCAUGGGCCCUGGUUAAGGGAAACCCAAGUUGGAACAGGACUCAGGGCUUUUCUUUGACCUGGCUUUUUACAAACACAAGAAAUGCAUGGGCUGGGCAUGGCGCUGGUGUGAGAGCUGCACUUUCUGUAGUGACCCGAAGCCUGAAUUCACCUCGACCUCCAGUUCCUCCUGCCUGGGAGCUGGUGAAUGCCCGUUGGAUCCAUUGGAAGGGGUGAAUCUCCCUCUUGGCUGUCUCUGUCCAGAGCUGUUCCUCAGGGACUUCCUUGCAUUGGGCUCCUGCCAGUCUCAGGGACUUCUCAGUCUCUCUGUUGAUGGCCCAUCAGAGCUCACUCCACUUGUGAAGGCUUUCUCCUGUCAUCCUUCCUGGAAGCUCUUUGAAUACCGACCACGGCUGAGCACUGCACUGCCUCCCUGCCCAGCUGCCACUGGGCUUGGAUGAUUUUCAACCUCAACAUGAAAGGGAAACUUUCAGAUGGCAUCUGGGCUUUGCUAUUUCUGGUGUGGUGUCAUUAAAAGCUGCCUCAGUCUAGCAUCUGUGAUUUCACUUUUUGAUAUAAAAAAGAUAUGAACUGUUAGUGCAAUAGUGCAGAGAAUGAUAUCCAACUUUUAUUUUAUGUAUAUAUUUUAUUUGUGUCUCAUAAAGGGGUUCAGGACACAAUAACCCAAAGCAUGGCACUUUGACAUUUGAGAAAACAGCAGAAGCAGGAAGGUCUCUCUCAUCUUACUCUGCCCUUCUACCCUAAAGCAGGUCAUGAGACCCUCAUUCAAGAAGUACACACCCUAUACCCAAAGAAAAGAAACAUUCUUAUCUCUGAAGACACAGAGACACACAGAGAAUAAUCUGAACACACCAGUCUUACUAAGCCACCCUAUGCCUCCCAGGUUACCACCGUUCGAUCACGCUCCCUUUGUCCAGCCAUACUUCCCCGAGACUGUCUACUCUUCAUCAAACCUAGCAUAAAAAACAUGUUUCCCUAUUUCUUUGGGUCUUUAUUUCUGAAGACUCCCAUGUCACAUACAAAUUAUAUUAAAUACACUUGUCUGCUUUCUUCUUCUUAAUCUGUCUUAUAGGAGCCUCAGGCAUAAACUUAGCAAAGGGUGAGAAAAUAUGUAUCUUUUUAUUCCCUACAUUUGUAUUUAUGUUGAAAUGCAAAGACAGGCAAAAAUAGAGGGCUAUACGAAUUCAGCAGGAUUCUAAAUUAUUAACUUGGAAAGUACUUUCAAACUCUGGAGGAAAGUUUCUAAUUACUUUUGGAAGGAAAGGCAGUAUUAUGUAAGAAAACCACAUUUUCUAUCAUGCAUUACUAAACUAACUACGGAAGUCACAUCCUUAUGCCUUUUUGUAGCUAACAUUGUUUCUGACCCCUAAGAACUGACUGAAGCAAACAGAUCAAGUUGAUUCAGUGUUAGGUAAAUAGGAGGGUGGUGAGAUUUUAAGAUAAACUUACCAGAGCAAGAAAGGAUCAGUGCUUCAAACAGGUGCAAAACAAGUAGGGGAAAGGUAGAAUUAAGCACUCUUGUUUUCAAGUUACAAAACGUUCACAUUUGUUUCUAAUGUUUACUUAAACACUCUAAUACCCUAAAAAAUCGACAUCCUUGAAUUUGAAGGUCAGUAAAAUAUAAAUAACACAGUUACUGCUUUUUGGAAUAUCUCUGUGGAUUCAUUCAGCACUCUUGCUAUUUAUUUAUUUAUUUAUUUAUUUAUUUAUUUAUU
This 5941-nucleotide long non-coding RNA is filed under the name Homo sapiens (human). RNAcentral describes it as "HSALNT0206985". The record is from RNAcentral. Lineage: Eukaryota; Metazoa; Chordata; Mammalia; Primates; Hominidae.